RNAcentral lists this ribosomal RNA (864 nucleotides) under uncultured bacterium. RNAcentral describes it as "bacterial SSU rRNA". It matches the Rfam family "Bacterial small subunit ribosomal RNA", at positions 57 to 902 of the family's 1533-position model. The record is from RNAcentral.
GCCGGUCGAGCGAACAGACGAGGAGCUUGCUCCUCUGACGUUAGCGGCGGACGGGUGAGUAACACGUGGAUAACCUACCUAUAAGACUGGGAUAACUUCGGGAAACCGGAGCUAAUACCGGAUAAUAUAUUGAACCUCAUGGUUCAAUAGUGAAAGACGGUUUUGCUGUCACUUAUAGAUGGAUCCGCGCCGCAUUAGCUAGUUGGUAAGGUAACGGCUUACCAAGGCAACGAUGCGCAGCCGACCUGAGAGGGUGAUCGGCCACACUGGAACUGAGACACGGUCCAGACUCCUACGGGAGGCAGCAGUAGGGAAUCUUCCGCAAUGGGCGAAAGCUUGACGGAGCAACGCCGCGUGAGUGAUGAAGGUCUUCGGAUCGUAAAACUCUGUUAUUAGGGAAGAACAAAUGUGUAAGUAACUAUGCACGUCUUGACGGUACCUAAUCAGAAAGCCACGGCUAACUACGUGCCAGCAGCCGCGGUAAUACGUAGGUGGCAAGCGUCAUCCGGAAUUAUUGGGCGUAAAGCGCGCGUAGGCGGUUUUUUAAGUCUGAUGUGAAAGCCCACGGCUCAACCGUGGAGGGUCAUUGGAAACUGGAAAACUUGAGUGCAGAAGAGGAAAGUGGAAUUCCAUGUGUAGCGGUGAAAUGCGCAGAGAUAUGGAGGAACACCAGUGGCGAAGGCGACUUUCUGGUCUGUAACUGACGCUGAUGUGCGAAAGCGUGGGGAUCAAACAGGAUUAGAUACCCUGGUAGUCCACGCCGUAAACGAUGAGUGCUAAGUGUUAGGGGGUUUCCGCCCCUUAGUGCUGCAGCUAACGCAUUAAGCACUCCGCCUGGGGAGUACGACCGCANGGUUGAAACUC